AUGACGACAUGGUCUGAAGGGUAUGGGACUCAAUUCAUCAGGGGUAUGGGACUCAAUUCAUCAGGGGUAUGGGACUCAAUUCAUCAGGGGUAUGGGACUCAAUUCAUCAGGGGUAUGGGACUCAAUUCAUCAGGGGUAUGGGACUCAAUUCAUCAGGGGUAUGGGACUCAAUUCAUCAGGGCUAUGGGACUCAAUUCAUCAGGGCUAUGGGACUCAAUUCAUCAGGGCUAUGGGACUCAAUUCAUCAGGGGUAUGGGACUCAAUUCAUCAGGGGUAUGGGACUCAAUUCAUCAGGGGUAUGGGACUCAAUUCAUCAGGGCUAUGGGACUCAAUUCAUCAGGGCUAUGGGACUCAAUUCAUCAGGGGUAUGGGACUCUACAAGGUGUCGAGAGCGUUCCACAGGGAUGUUGGCCCCAUGUUGACUCUCAUUCUAGACUCUAUCCGAUACCUAAGAAAUAUAGAUCUAUGAAAUUAUAGCCUAGAUCUCCAAAGGGAACUCGGGAGUACUGUCUGGUCUGGUAAGGGUACGUCUAGCUGGGAAUAUAUAUAGUGCACUACUAUAGACCAGCGCCCUAUUCCCUAUAUAGUGGCACUACCUUAGACCAGAGCCCUAUUCCCUAUAUAGUGGUACUACUAUAGACCAGAGCCCUAUUCCCUAUAUAGUGCACUACUAUAGACCAGCGCCCUAUUCCCUAUAUAGUGGCACUACCUUAGACCAGAGCCCUAUUCCCUAUAUAGUGGUACUACUAUAGACCAGAGCCCUAUUCCCUAUAUAGUGGCACUACUUUAGACCAGAGCCCGAUUCCCUAUAUAGUGCACUACUUUAGACCAGAGCCCUAUUCCCUAUAUAGUGCACUACUUUAGACCAGAGCCCUAUUCCCUAUAUAGUGCACUACUUUAGACCAGAGCCCUAUUCCCUAUAUAGUGGCACUACUUUAGACCAGAGCCCGAUUCCCUAUAUAGUGCACUACUUUAGACCAGAGCCCUAUUCCCUAUAUAGUGCACUACUUUAGACCAGAGCCCUAUUCCCUAUAUAGUGCACUACUUUUGGCCUGAGCCCUAUUCCCUAUAUAGUGCACUACUUUAGACCAGAGCCCUAUUCCCUAUAUAGUGCACUACUUUAGACCAGAGCCCUAUUCCCUAUAUAGUGCACUACUUUUGGCCUGAGCCCUAUUCCCUAUAUAGUGCACUACUUUAGACCAGAGCCCUAUUCCCUAUAUAGUGCACUACUUUAGACCAGAGCCCUAUUCCCUAUAUAGUACACUACUUUAGACCAGAGCCCUAUAUAGUGCACUACUUUAGACCAGAGCCCUAUUCCCUAUAUAGUGCCCUACUUUAGACCAGAACCCUAUUCCCUAUAUAGUGGCACUACUAUAGACCAGAGCCCUAUUCCCUAUAUAGUGCACUACUUUAGACCAGAGCCCUAUUCCCUAUAUAGUGCACUACUUUAGACCAGAGCCCUAUUCCCUAUAUAGUGCACUACUUUAGACCAGAGCCCUAUUCCCUAUAUAGUGCACUACUUUAGACCAAAGCCCUAUUCCCUAUAUAGUGCACUACUUUAGACCAGAGCCCUAUUCCCUAUAUAGUGCACUACUUUAGACCAGAGCCCUAUUCCCUAUAUAGUGCACUACUUUAGACCAGAACCCUAUUCCCUAUAUAGUGCACUACUUUAGACCAGAGCCCUAUUCCCUAUAUAGUGCACUACUUUAGACCAGAGCCCUAUUCCCUAUAUAGUGGCACUACUAUAGACCAGAGCCCUAUUCCCUAUAUAGUGGCACUACUUUAGACCAGAACCCUAUUCCCUAUAUAGUGCACUACUUUAGACCAGAGCCCUAUUCCCUAUAUAGUGCACUACUUUAGACCAGAGCCCUAUUCCCUAUAUAGUGCACUACUUUAGACCAGAGCCCUAUUCCCUAUAUAGUGGUACUACUAUAGACCAGAGCCCUAUUCCCUAUAUAGUGCCCUACUUUAGACCAGAACCCUAUUUCCUAUAUAGUGGCACUACUUUAGACCAGAGCCCCCAUAGGGAAUAGGUGGUCAUUUGAGACUCACCCAUUCCCUCCCCCCCUCUUUAGUUUCUACGUUUCGGUCCGUCCUCUGAACGGGAUUCAGUAACGGGAAAGAAACCGCUCCAACGAUCCACCACUGACGUCCCUCCCUCGGUAACAGGAAGUCCCUCCCUCGGUAACAGGAAGUCCCUCCCUCGGUAACAGGAAGUCCCUCCCUCGGUAACAGGAAGUCCCUCCCUCCGCGUGAAAGGUUGUUUUCUUCUUCUUCAUUCACCCGUCUUAUCGUUGUGUCUUAUAAUAAUAGUUUUUGUUUUUAACUUUCUCAUCAAGACAGCGAGUGAUUGUGUUCGUUGUGUCUGUGCAGAGUAAAACAAUGAAACGAGAAUGGAGGGGGGACGGGACUGUCUCUGUUAUAGAGCUUAUGGACAGCUCCAUAUGCAGUGCCUUCGGACAGUAUUCACACCCCUUGACCUUGUUCUACGUUUUGUUUUAAAUAUGUAUUUGUUUGUGUCACUGGCCUCUACACACCACAAUCAUAAUGUCAAAGUGGAAUUGUGUUUUUAGAAAUGUUUACAAAAUUAUAUAUUUUUUUCUUUUUAAAAAGGGAAAAGCUGAAAUGAGUCAAUUUUAGUUUUCAACUCCUUUGUUAUGUCAAGCCCUAGAUAAGUUCAGGAGUAAAAAAUGUGCUCAACAAGUCACAUAACAAGUUGGCGUGGACUCACUCUCUGUGUGUAAUAAUAGUGUUUAACGUGAUUCUCUGUACCCCACACAGACAAUUAUCUCUAAGGUCCCUCAGUCGAGGAGAUGUAGUGCAAGGCACACACCUGUGUAUAUAAUGUCCCACAGUUGACAGUGCAUGUCAGAGCCAAGGACAAUCCAUGAAGUGUAAAGCUGUCAUCAAGGUAAAAGGUGGCUACUUUGAAGAAUCUCAAAUAUAAAAUAUAUUUUGAUUUGUUUAACACUUUUUUUUUUGUUGGUCACUACAUGAUUCCAUAUGUGUUAUUUCAUAGUGUUGAUGUCUUCACUAUUAUUCUACAAUGUAGAAAAUAGUAAAAAUAAAGAAAAACCUUUUGAAUGAGUAGGUGUUUUGACUGGUACUGUAUGUAUUCUUGGCUGAGUAGCUUGGACUGCGAAUGCAACUUGCCGGCAUUCAAAUGAUUAGCUUCUUUUAGAGAACAUGUAUUUAAGCUUGGAUCUGCUUGGUUCUGGAUUAGCUUGUACUGUCUUGCUGAACUCCAGGGUCAUUGUCACAACAUAGGGUCUUUAAUGAUCUGUACUGGUCUUUAAUGAUCUGUACUGGUCUUUAAUGAUCUGUACUGGUC
Molecule: long non-coding RNA, 3331 nt
Filed under: Oncorhynchus kisutch (coho salmon)
Lineage: Eukaryota; Metazoa; Chordata; Actinopteri; Salmoniformes; Salmonidae
Description: lncRNA (ENSOKIG00005000429.1)
Source: RNAcentral